RNAcentral lists this ribosomal RNA (366 nucleotides) under uncultured organism. RNAcentral describes it as "bacterial SSU rRNA". It matches the Rfam family "Bacterial small subunit ribosomal RNA", at positions 526 to 896 of the family's 1533-position model. The record is from RNAcentral.
CGGAGGAUCCAAGCGUUAUCCGGAAUCAUUGGGUUUAAAGGGUCCGUAGGCGGUUUGGUAAGUCAGUGGUGAAAGCCCAUCGCUCAACGGUGGAACGGCCAUUGAUACUGCCAGACUUGAAUUACUGGGAAGUAACUAGAAUAUGUAGUGUAGCGGUGAAAUGCUUAGAGAUUACAUGGAAUACCAAUUGCGAAGGCAGGUUACUACCAGUGGAUUGACGCUGAUGGACGAAAGCGUGGGUAGCGAACAGGAUUAGAUACCCUGGUAGUCCACGCCGUAAACGAUGGAUACUAGCUGUUGGGGGCAACUUCAGUGGCUAAGCGAAAGUGAUAAGUAUCCCACCUGGGGAGCACGUUCGCAAGAAUG